Molecule: long non-coding RNA, 3510 nt
Filed under: Triticum aestivum (bread wheat)
Lineage: Eukaryota; Viridiplantae; Streptophyta; Magnoliopsida; Poales; Poaceae
Description: long non-coding RNA (TAES_LNC022012)
Source: RNAcentral
UAUCACGUACGGUUGAUGGGCAGCAUACAAGGUAGAAAAGGAUGACAUGCCGGAUUACAUUGCACGUGCUGAGGUCAUGAUGACAAUAUACAAGAUCUGAAAAAGAUCCUUCACGUUUUUCUCUUUCAUCUGGGGAAAAAUAAUAGAGAAGCAGUGUACAUAGAGGUUCCAACUGGAAUCCAUCAAAAACAGAAACGGGCACGAGGUGGAGUAGCUAUCUUUUCAUCAAUCGGCCAGGGACAACCACAUAUACGAGCCCAACAUGCUACGAUUAAACUUACAGUAUCCAUCCCCUAAAAGAACUGGGCUGACAAUUCCAAACAAGGACGGGAUACGUGCAAAUAAGAGAAGCAUAUGAUCAGACUUCCACAUGGUUUCGGCCACGUCCAAACAGCCAGCGCAACCUACAUAAAGAGGUCCAACCUGCCGCAUAAGCACACAGAAAAGAAAUAGAAGUCAGCCAAACCAUGACUUGAAGACCCCACAAGAAAAUCGAAGUCCCAUGACCUAAUGCAUGACUCAGGACGUGCCAUGGAGAUUAAAGUUGAUUGCUUCACUCAACGUAUGGCGAAGUCAUGCCCAAGCACGCUCGACGCUUCACGAAUCAUGAAGCGAUGCCCAAUUGCUUCGUUCGACAUCCGAUGAAAUCACGCGUAAGCACUUCUGACCUGAAUCAUCAAGUUUGGUAAUUGUUAUUUACAAAUCUUCAUAGGUACUCUAUCAAUUGAUACUACGACGUACAAUAAGUUCAACACCAUAAUGAUAAGAUACGAAACUGGAACAUUCUACUAAAAGUAACGAGAUGUGGGAUUUAGUCAAUCCUACAACAGAUGAGCUAAUUAGUCUAAGCUUAUUAGUCCUGAUAUUAUAUUGAUGGAUGAGCAUGUCUGUUCUUUAUAUUAUUAAUUUCAAAUUGGUCAAACAAUUUAAACAAUGGUUACUAAGUAUAUCUGAAAAAAAAUUACAAUUUACGCAUUCGACAACUUUAAGGUCACGGAAUCCACAAAGUAUCGACCAGUGAGCGGUGAAAUUCAAAUAUUUUUUGAAUAUAUACAAAGGUAAAGGAGAAAAAAGAUCUCCAGAAGUUUUUUUCAGAUUAUUAUUUCGAGUUUGCUACCAAGGGCACACUACAAGAAUGGGAAGAAAAAAAUAUACAAUGCUCAGGUAUGUUUAUAGUUGUAAUUACGACUUUGAAAUAAACAGUCGUUCUAAUUUAUAUAUUACUAAUCUACAAGUUUGCAUGUGUCAUUGUUUUACUAACACAAACGAAGACUGUGGAAACAAGAAUAACAAAAAAGACCCACAUCCUUCAUAUAUCCGCAAGAUUGAAAUUCUACUACCAGAGUCUGUGUAUAUGCAUAUGCAUGUCUCAAAUUGAACUAAACCUCCUUUGGCAACCAAACUGUCCUUAUUGUGACCUCAAGAAUGGCGCGUAAAUUCAAUGAUAAGUCAAUAAUCUUACAUAGAGGGAUACAUUCUUGAUUAAAUAGGUUUGCGGCUAAAGUCCAAUAAUGCCACAAGAAUAUAUGCAGAUCUGGAUAUACCUGAAACAGAUGAAGUAUGAAACACUACCAUCUAAUAUUUUUGACUCAUGAAUAGUGAUUCACGUUUAAUUCAGUAUUGCAUAACAAUUUUUCUCACCUUUGGCACGCAAAACUAUGCAAUAAAAAGAACAUUUGUGCCUAAUGUUGGGAUUGAGAUGCUCUACUUGAAUGACAAAGUAGAGGAGGUAAAGGCGCAUUUAAUUCUUUUCCUAAACUAAUACACCUUACAUAUAUUGCACAUGAAUUGAUGGAUGAUGAAGUAGACACCGUGUUAACGAAGAAGCAAAACAUGGCCAAUAAAAAGGUGAUUGAUUUUUUCCCCAUGCAUAUUUACAGAUUCUAGAAAUGUGUCAAAUUUUUUUAAAAAAAUAUUUCUUUUGUGGUCACAAAAUAAUAGUCUCACCUUGCAAAUUGCCAUGCAAAUCAGUCCCUAUGAAAGAGGAACAACAUGACAGUAAUGGGACUACAAUAAACAAAGAUGAGCAUCAAGACAAAAUAUAAUCAUCAUCACGUGAGCUCCACAAUGACAAAAUGAGACUGGGAUCUGUUGUAAUAUCAGAUGACUCAUAGGAUGAAUGCACUUAGACGAGUUUGGCAGAGCGAAAAGAAAAGGGUGUCUGCUGAAACAAGAAUUUUUUUAAAAGUAAAAGCCAAAAAUACAAGUCUUGAAGAUGAAGCUGAAGUACAGGAAGUGCCUUUGGGGAACAAGGAAGGUUUCUUGAAAAUUUACCUUGCUGAAUAGCAGAACCAUAUAUAAGCAAAUCAACGGCCUCUCUGGUGUUCCACACAUACCACUAGCUUUGGUAGUGCCCCAUUCUGACCAAAAAUAGUGUUACCACUUUUAGACUUACGGAAAAAAUAAAUCCACUAAGUAAUCGCAUUAAGAUUAUUUCACGACUACUUGAUCAGGUGGCUAGAAGUUAUUUGAGAAAACUCAACAUGCAAAAUCCUGCUCAACAACCCUAUUUGCGAAUUGAUAAAAUACCAUCCAAGUUGACAUAUUAUCUGACAAGGUAAUCUGAUUACCAAACUAAUGCAGAAUAAUCCAUCAAAUUAAUUUUGCCAUAAGGUUACUUAAAAAAAUUGAGAAUGUUACAAGCCUAUCCAUAGCAGUCUGUAUUGUAUAAAUUAGAAAAAUAUAGUCAUACAUGCACUUCUGUCAGUUUAUUGUUCUUGGUAAUAAAAAACAUCAAUCUCAUAAGGCCUUUUCAUUAAAAAAAAUCAUGAAGCCUUAUUUUUAAAGAAAAGGCAUCAUGAAUAAAAUAUUUCUUGCUAACAGCAAAUGCAAAAUACUACGGAGUGCAACACUGCUAUGGAUAAACUAGAAGAGAUAUUUUUUGCUAGAAAGGAUGCAUAUCUUCAAUCGGCACUUACAUUUGGUAGAAAUCUGACAGCACCAACAAUAAGAGGCCACGAUCUCAUGGUCGUCCGCAGAAGCCGCUCACACCUUGCUGCUAUUUAUCAAUCCCACGAUCUACUUACACUCAUCUGCCUUCAGUGCCCCCAUACGAACAGCAACAAGCCCAAACUCUGUCCCGCACCUCACAUCCAACAGUCCACCAUCAGCCCGUGACUCCAUCAGUUCACUCACAGCCUCCUCCAUGGGGUGGUCGAGGAUUCACACCACAGAGGACGCGACGAGCGUGUCUACGCACUCCAUGCGCACGGCCAACUGAGCCAAUAGAUCGACGAAGUGAAAUCAGAAGAAAUGAAUCUACGAGUACGACCGGGAUAGCUUGGGAAUUAGUCUGAUGAUGGCGAGCGGCGACAUCUUCAUCCGCUGGCCGCUAAUCGAAAGAUGUGGCGCAUGCGGAUGGAUAAGGAUCCUGGCAGUGGUGGGGAUCGACUGAGAUGAGAGGAGUGCUUUUUUUCUUAUACGUAGAUGUCUAGAUUUUUUUUUGAGGGGAACGUAGAUUUUCUUUUGAGGGGAACGUAGAUGUCUAGAUGAAGGCCUGUACGGUUGUUC